CCCCCUUCCUCCUCCCUCGUUAGUUUUCUAACGAAAAAGUGCUGCUGAGAAUUCCCAGAAGGUCCCGGAUGUGAAGUCACCGCCGUGAGGUCACCGAGCCUGGUUCCAGGAAUCUGAAUAUUGUGGGGGAGGAAGGAAAGCGCCGAAAAACAGAGGAGCUGGGGAAGAGCUGGCCCUGGACACUGUGCUCCAGUUCCAUCGGAUGGCAUUCCUGUUGGCCCUACAGAAACCACCAUGAACACAUAUUCCUGAUUUUGAUCCAUGCACCAAGGUCUCCAGUCUCAGGCAAUUAAUUACAAGUGGUCUAAAUC
Long non-coding RNA from Bos taurus (domestic cattle), 311 nucleotides. The record is from Ensembl. NCBI's taxonomy places the organism in Eukaryota, Metazoa, Chordata, Mammalia, Artiodactyla, Bovidae.